Camellia sinensis is the source of this 487-nucleotide non-coding RNA. Lineage: Eukaryota; Viridiplantae; Streptophyta; Magnoliopsida; Ericales; Theaceae. The record is from RefSeq and is a predicted model, not a curated record.
AUUGCAUUUCAAUUCGGUAGUAAAAAAUUAAUUUCAUUUUUAUAGGACGUGCAAGUCUUUUUUGUAUGUCGCAUGAAGAAAAUAUUGUACCUGUAACUAGAGUUGCAAAUGAAUCGAACUGUUCAUGAACAAAUUCGGCUCGAUUCGUUUAUAAACGAGCUGAGCUUGAACUUACAUAAGUUCAGCCCGUUUAUCUUUAUUUAAAUAAUAUAAAUAAUAUUAAAAAAAAUUAUCAAGCCAAGACAAGUUCCAGUUUCAUUAAUAUUAGCGAGUUCGAGUCCAAUUCCUUAUCGAGCUGAGGUUGAACUCAAUAAACGAGCGGAGUUCGAACUCAGUAAAACUUGACUCGGCUCAAUUCGUUUGCAGCCUUACUAAUGUUAUUAUUUUUAAACUGUCUCAUUGAAAUGUUUGUUUCCAUUUGGGAAGUGGUUGCAUCGUGUACACGUUACAUGAUUUCAUGAUUCUAUGGCCCCUACUAUGAUUGGAU